ACUUUCCCCCAGCCGCCCCCCCCCCUUUUUUCCCCUCCUUCUUUCUCCAAGGCUGCACUUUGGAAGAGGCGCAGUCAUUCUCCCCCCUUUCCCCCUCCCCACCUCUCCGCCCCCCCCAGCUAUAAAUCUCCCCCCCCCCCCGCCCCCCAGCAUGCUGCCUUUUUUUUUUUAAUCCACAUUUGUGUUUCAGAUCAUGUAGAAAGGACAGAAAGUGAGCAGGGAGCGAGGGCUUUUGUCUAUUGUUCUUCUUGUGCUACUUGAGCGAAACUGCGGUCUCAAGACUUAACAGUCUAAAAAUGUGGGAGUUUUGAGUCAUCGGAUGGGGAGGAAUAAAGAGCAGCUGUAGUAUCAUGCUUCUGAAAAUGCAGAGCUAGAGAAGCAUAUGUCCAUGUGUUUAUCAGCCAAGGUUAACAAUUUGGGUUAACCAGAAACUCUUUCCAACCAGCCAAGGAGAUGGAGGAUUUCCUAAGAUUUUUGUGUUCAUGUCUUAACUGCCUCCGUGACAACUGCACAAUGUAAUUAAAGGCACAUCAGUCAUGUUUGACAGUACAAAUAUUGUUAACACAAACGCAGAAUAUAUGGUAUAUCUGACGAUUUAAAUGAUUUGUCUUUGUCGUCAUUACUGAUUUGAUAAACCCCAAAUUGGACAUGAAAUUUGAGUAGUAAAAUAAAGGAGUUAUUCAAAAACCA
This is an RNA transcript of Alligator mississippiensis (American alligator), 690 nucleotides long. RefSeq lists it as uncharacterized. The transcript has 5 exons. The record is from RefSeq and is a predicted model, not a curated record. Lineage: Eukaryota; Metazoa; Chordata; Crocodylia; Alligatoridae.